AAACCUCUUCACCGGGAGCGGUGCCGCUGUCAGCGGUGUGCACCCCGUUUGUUACCUCUCAGGCUCUUCUUAAAGGCAUUCGUCUCUAUUCUUAGUAAAGGAAGCUAUGAGCUGGGUUUUUCAUGAGGCAUCUGAUGAGUUUUGGUAGACUGAAGUUUACAAAAUCUUAAAAUACUGCAUUACAGGAUUUUUUGCUCCUCCUAAAGCAAAAUACCACUUUAAAUGAACCAGUUUGGUGAGGAUUUUCAGAGAAAAAAGGAAGGUGACAGUAUUUUGGAGAACCCAUCGAUUCCAAAUCCUUUUCCCGAGCUGUGUUGCUCGCCGUUUGCAUCAGUUUUGUCAGCCAGUCUGUUGCCCAAGGCAACUUCAAGAAAAAAGCAGGUAAUCAAAGUGUAUAGUGAAGAUGAUACUAGCAGAGCUUUGGAAGUACCCAGUGAUAUAACAGCCAGGGAUGUGUGUCAGCUCUUGAUAUUGAAGAACCGCUAUGUUGAUGACCACAGCUGGACUCUCUUUGAACAACUUACCCACACAGGUUUAGGAAGAGCUAUAGAAGACCAUGAAUUAGUGAUGGAAGUUCAAUCAAAUUGGGUAAUGGAAGAGGAAACCAAACUGUAUUUUAGAAAAAAUUAUGCAAAGUAUGAGUUUUUUAAAAAUCCUUUGAGCUUUUUUCCAGAUCACAUGAUAUCUUUUCCAAGUGAGACCAAUGCAGAUCUAAGCCACUCUGGAAUAUUACAGAUGUUUCUUAGCUCCAGCACAUAUCCUGAGAUUCAUGGUUAUUUGUAUGCAAAGGAGCAGGGGAAAAAAUCAUGGAAAAAAUUGUACUUUCUUUUGAGAAGAUCUGGCCUUUAUUUUUCCACUAAAGGUACAUCUAAGGAGCCAAGGCAUCUGCAGUUUUUCUGUGAAUUCAGCAAUAGUGAUAUGUACAUGUCUUUAACAGGCAAAAAGAUUUCUGGAGCACCAACAAACUAUGGAUUCUGCUUUAAGCCUAACAAAUCAGGAGGAACCAGAGACCUGAAACAGCUCUGUGCAGAUGAUGAACAAAGUAGGACCUGUUGGAUGACAGCAAUUAGGUUACUCAAGUAUGGGAUGCAGCUGUAUCAGAAUUACAUGCAACCAUAUCAAGGUAGAAGUGGCUGCAGCCCUUUGAAUAUAACACCUAUGAGAAGCAUUUCAGAAAAUUCUUUAGUAGCAAUGGAUUUCUCAGGACACAGAAGCAGAAUUAUAGAAAAUCCAACAGAGGCCCUUUCAGUUGCAGUUGAAGAAGGAUUAGCAUGGCGGAGGAGAGGGUGUCUCCGACUCAACUCUCAUGGUAGUCCUAUUGCCAUGUCUAACAUGGCUAUACACAGAUCUCAGUCAUGGUUCCAUCAUAAAAUCUCUAGAGAAGAGGCUCAGAGACUCAUUUUGCAGCAUGGACUUGUAGAUGGGGUAUUCCUGGUACGUGAUAGCCAAAGUAACCCCAAAACAUUUGUAUUGUCACUGAGUCAUGGAUUAAAAAUAAAACAUUUUCAAAUUGUACCAGUUGCUUCAGGUUAUGCUGCACUUAAAAAUGUCUCCUUUUAGAUAGGGUAUGCAGCCUGCUAGUUCAUGUCUCACCCAGGUAAACAGGUGCCUCAUGUUAACAUUGGUAACCUGUGCAACAGGUAUUGCAGGUGGGUAGUAGUUUACAAUUGAUUGUAAAAAGUUCAGAAGGAAACCUUUGGAAUAUAUUUGGGAUCCUGUACUGUGAAAAUUGGAGAGCCUUUUAGUUUAAAGGUAUUUUUCAGCCUUCAUGUUCUGAGCUGAUGCAAGUUCACAUCAAUGGAUUCUAUCCUGAAAUUUCAUCCGUGUGAAAGACGAAGAGUUGAUACACAGUUCUGGGACUGUCUUUUUCUAAUGAAUGUUUUCUCAUAACAGCCUUCUUAGCUUGCAGAAGAUGCUAGGUUCUUAGGCAACAGAACUUUGACAUAAGUUUUUACUUUGAGAAAUAUUAAUAGCUUUAGAAUUAGCAGUCUGUCUGGUAUUAAUUUCAAGGUUUGGAAUUAACUUGUUAGGAGGAUAACAGACAUUUGAAUUGUUAACUUUCCUUGCCUACAGUAUGUUGGCAGGAAAAUUGCAUUCAUAAAGGAAGUCAAAUGAAUGUUAAUCCAUUUUCAGGUUCUUGGCUGGAGCACAGGAAUUUUCUCACAUUGGUAAUUCCUUAACUAGCAGUAUUUGACUGGUUUGACCAAAGUCUGAAAAUAAAGAAAUUGCAAACUACUUCCAGUCAUGGUAGAAAGGGGUAGAAUAACUAGGAGUCACAAGCAGUUCAGCAGCUGCUUCAGAUAGAACAUCUUAAUUACAGUUGGAAGAUGAUGGGAAGCUAUUCUAUACCCUUGAUGAUGGUCAUACCAGAUUUACUGAUCUCAUCCAGCUAGUGGAAUUCU
Molecule: RNA transcript, 2402 nt
Organism: Cyanistes caeruleus (blue tit)
Lineage: Eukaryota; Metazoa; Chordata; Aves; Passeriformes; Paridae
Gene: GRB14
Gene name: growth factor receptor bound protein 14
Source: RefSeq, a predicted model, not a curated record